This is a long non-coding RNA of Myotis brandtii (Brandt's bat), 693 nucleotides long. RefSeq lists it as uncharacterized. The transcript is spliced from 2 exons. NCBI's taxonomy places the organism in Eukaryota, Metazoa, Chordata, Mammalia, Chiroptera, Vespertilionidae. The record is from RefSeq and is a predicted model, not a curated record.
AAUCUCUGAGACGCUGAAGAAAAUGCAAAAUCCACAGCCCACACAGUCCACUCGGUAAUCAAGAAGACAUGGAAGCCUGGGCGCAGCUCGGAGGACAGGGGCGUACCUCCCCGUAUAUAUGACACAUGGGGGCCCAGUCUUGUCUGAACCUGUUCAUCCCCACAUAUCAAACCAUAUGUCACGGUGAAUGAGUGAGUGUUGUGGAGUUGCGUGUGCGCGUGUGUGUGGGGUAAGCAUUUCAGGGAGGGCAGGUCUUGGGUGAAUGUUGAAUGUGGAGUCACAGAGGGUGUGGUGUGCACCUGUCACCGUCCAUGUGAUACGUGUGUAUCAUGCACAUCACAGUGGGUAGCUGUGUCAGCAGGGACCACAAAGGUGUGUCCCAGUGAGGGUGGGUGUUGGUGACACGUGUUACCCAUGCAUGUUUCACCGUUGGUGUGAAUAUGCAUGAAUGCCCUGCAACAUGUUACAUGUAUGUAUAAACGUGUCAUGGUGGAAUUGGUGGGUGCACCCCGUGGGAAUGUAAUUGCGGGUGUCACGGUGUGUGCCUGUCACUCCCUGUGCCCCGAGAACAGUGUGUGUCCGUGAGAGUGUGCCUGACGGUCACCGAGGGUGCUGGGAGCACGCACACCCGUGUGCCCGUGUUUCUGCACUCACAUUUUGUGGUUCAUGGAAGUAAAGGCCAAGGGAAAACAA